GAUGACCCUAAAUUACAUCCCCAAAACGUAACCAGCAUCAUCGACCUAUUUGCUGAAGAUUUAUUCGAGAAAUCAGAUGUUAGAGCAGGCUGUGGAGAUUUUCGAGAAAAUGAAGGACAAUUUUUGGCUGUGAGUCGUAAUAUAGUUUAACGAAUGCGUUUGUGGCUUUAAAUGAACUGAUUUUAAAGGAAUUUUAGGGUUAUGAGUGCAUCUCCGAAUUCAGAAACUUUUAAUAUAGUAUUGCUCAAAAUCGCUUGUAGAGAGAGGGAAUUCGGCAAGGCGAGAGGCUGAUUGAUGUUGGCUCUGAACAGUAGUUUGAAGUGUGGAAAAUUGAUCUAUUGUUGGGGAUAGUGCAAGUCUGGGGAUAUUGUUGGGGCAGAGGGGGUUUAUUUGAGUAUGAUGAAACUUGAAGAGCUAUUUGAUCACAACUCAUGGAAUUUUAGUUCACUAGCUUUGUGAGAAUGAAUACAUUUUAAAUGUAUUGAAGACUGCUGAGGAGAAAGGAUGUGUUCUUGAUUGUUUUGCUUAUUAAGCAAUGGGUUAGAUAAUUUCCCCCAAGGGAAGAUCACAAAUUCUGAAUUAAAGCAAGUUAUGUUGACUCCAGAAGAAUUGAGUGAUCAGUCCCGCCAAAAUAACUCCAAGAAACGCUACCUUCCUCCAGUCAGGCGAUGAAGAUACUGAGGCAUCAGCAAUUCCAAUAACGACCAACCCCAUCAGAGCAAGUUCAGUUCACAAGGGAAGAAGAAAAAUACCCUGGCACCAGCUUCAUCCAAUUCCUUGAGGGCAUUUUCUCCAAUCAGGUCGAUUUCGGCAUUGGCUUCCUCGGCAAACUGGGUUAGAUAUUCCGAUCUUUCGUCCAAGAAAU
Molecule: long non-coding RNA, 865 nt
Organism: Salvia splendens (bonfire salvia)
Lineage: Eukaryota; Viridiplantae; Streptophyta; Magnoliopsida; Lamiales; Lamiaceae
Exons: 4
Source: RefSeq, a predicted model, not a curated record